UAAAGACAGAAGCUCAGCUGGAUUUGAUGAUUUCCAUGACAUAGUAUCUAUAGCUUCAUUGAGCUGCCUGGAUCCUCACCCUCCAGCACACUGAGAGAUGUCAGCCAGUUAGGCGUGGAUAAGCCUGUGGAAGAUGCUCUGUCAUUCCUUCUGAUGUGCUUGCUUUAGGACUGGCACUGCCUGGGCUGCAUCUCAUCUGCCAUCUGACUGCCUCAUUGCCUUCAGCUUCUCCAUCCCAGAGAAAAGACCACCUGUAAGCAUCGUUUUCACAAGGUCACAAGUCUGUGGUUUCUCGUCCAUCUGCAAUCUCCACCUCUCCGGAGGCUGUCUCACUUGCUUUAUUUCCUGCAAGUCCCUCACAUGA
Long non-coding RNA from Eubalaena glacialis (North Atlantic right whale), 364 nucleotides. RefSeq lists it as uncharacterized. NCBI's taxonomy places the organism in Eukaryota, Metazoa, Chordata, Mammalia, Artiodactyla, Balaenidae. The record is from RefSeq and is a predicted model, not a curated record. The transcript has 3 exons.